CGGAUGUAGCCAAGUGGA
RNAcentral lists this transfer RNA (18 nucleotides) under Betula alleghaniensis. RNAcentral describes it as "partial tRNA-His". The record is from RNAcentral. RNAcentral also lists the same sequence under 2 other names. Lineage: Eukaryota; Viridiplantae; Streptophyta; Magnoliopsida; Fagales; Betulaceae.